Molecule: ribosomal RNA, 369 nt
Filed under: uncultured bacterium
Lineage: Bacteria
Description: bacterial SSU rRNA
Rfam family: Bacterial small subunit ribosomal RNA
Source: RNAcentral
GUAGGGUGCAGGCGUUAAUCGGAAUUACUGGGCGUAAAGCGUGCGCAGGCGGCUCCUUAAGUCAGAUGUGAAAUCCCCGGGCUUAACCUGGGAACUGCGUUUGAAACUGAGGAGCUAGAGUGUGGAAGAGGGGGGUGGAAUUCCAGGUGUAGCAGUGAAAUGCGUAGAGAUCUGGAGGAACACCGAUGGCGAAGGCAGCCCCCUGGGCUAACACUGACGCUCAUGCACGAAAGCGUGGGGAGCAAACAGGAUUAGAUACCCUGGUAGUCCACGCCCUAAACGAUGUCAACUGGUUGUCGGGGAAGCAAUUCCUUGGUAACGAAGCUAACGCGUGAAGUUGACCGCCUGGGGAGUACGGCCGCAAGGUUA